CAUGUGGUUUAAUUCGAUGCAACGCGAAGAACCUUACCUACUCUUGACAUCCAGCGAACUUGGCAGAGAUGCCUUGGUGCCUUCGGGAACGCUGAGACAGGUGCUGCAUGGCUGUCGUCAGCUCGUGUUGUGAAAUGUUGGGUUAAGUCCCGCAACGAGCGCAACCCUUAUCCUUUGUUGCCAGCGAUUCGGUCGGGAACUCAAAGGAGACUGCCGGUGAUAAACCGGAGGAAGGUGGGGAUGACGUCAAGUCAUCAUGGCCCUUACGAGUAGGGCUACACACGUGCUACAAUGGCGCAUACAAAGAGAAGCGACCUCGCGAGAGCAAGCGGACCUCAUAAAGUGCGUCGUAGUCCGGAUCGGAGUCUGCAACUCGACUCCGUGAAGUCGGAAUCGCUAGUAAUCGUGGAUCAGAAUGCCACGGUGAAUACGUUCCCGGGCCUUGUACACACCGCCCGUCACACCAUGGGAGUGGGUUGCAAAAGAAGUAGGUAGCUUAACCUCCGGGAGGGCGCUUACCACUUUGUGAUUCAUGACUGGGGUGAAGUCGUAACAAGGUAACCGUAGGGGAACCUGCGGUUGGAUCACCUCCUUA
This 595-nucleotide non-coding RNA is filed under the name Pantoea stewartii subsp. stewartii DC283. Its description in RNAcentral is "bacterial SSU rRNA". It matches the Rfam family "Bacterial small subunit ribosomal RNA", at positions 938 to 1533 of the family's 1533-position model. Lineage: Bacteria; Pseudomonadati; Pseudomonadota; Gammaproteobacteria; Enterobacterales; Erwiniaceae. The record is from RNAcentral.